Molecule: unclassified non-coding RNA, 155 nt
Filed under: uncultured Ascomycota
Lineage: Eukaryota; Fungi; Ascomycota
Description: sequence contains ITS2
Source: RNAcentral
CCCACUCCCUUUGGCGCUUUUGCCGACGGGGUCAUGGAGGCGGAGGAGCGAUCCUCCCCUCCCAACGUGGCACGCUUGCGAACCGAUACCGAUCACGACGUAGUAAAACACCUUCGUUGACUGUGACGUUGAGGCCGCCUGAAUCAAACUCUGUA